UGUUAAUAAUUUAUAUAUAAUAUUUUAUUAAUAUUUAUAUAGUAUUAACAUAAUUCAUAUUACUAUUUUAUAGUAUAUGAAAUUUUACUUUGAGAAAAUUAGAGUGCUUAAAGCAGGCAUUAGCCUUGAAUACUCCAGCAUGGAAUAAUAUAAAAGAUUUUAUCUUUUUUAUUGGUUCUAAGAUAAAAAUAAUGAUUAAUAGGGACAGUUGGGGGCAUUUGUAUUUAACAGUCAGAGGUGAAAUUCUUAGAUUUGUUAAAGACAAACUAGUGCGAAAGCAUUUGCCAAGGAUGUUUUCAUUAAUCAAGAACGAAAGUUAGGGGAUCGAAGACGAUCAGAUACCGUCGUAGUCUUAACCAUAAACUAUGCCAACUAGAGAUUGGAGGUUGUU
Molecule: ribosomal RNA, 391 nt
Filed under: Cryptosporidium environmental sequence
Lineage: Eukaryota; Apicomplexa; Conoidasida; Eucoccidiorida; Cryptosporidiidae
Description: SSU rRNA
Rfam family: Eukaryotic small subunit ribosomal RNA
Source: RNAcentral